RNAcentral lists this ribosomal RNA (165 nucleotides) under uncultured bacterium. RNAcentral's name for it is "partial 16S rRNA". It matches the Rfam family "Bacterial small subunit ribosomal RNA", at positions 354 to 511 of the family's 1533-position model. The record is from RNAcentral.
GUAGGGAAUCUUCCACAAUGGGCGAAAGCCUGAUGGAGCAACGCCGCGUGUGUGAUGAAGGCUUUCGGGUCGUAAAGCACUGUUGUAUGGGAAGAACAGCUAGAAUAGGAAAUGAUUUUAGUUUGACGGUACCAUACCAGAAAGGAACGGCUAAAUACGUGCCAG